AGGAUCAGAUAGCCCCAUAGGUAAACAACAAAUUAAUAGGAAGGCACAGCAGUGAAAAAGGCCCAAAAGCACCCUGAAUAUGAAAUAAUAGUUAGGGAAUAUAAUAAAUGAAAAUGUGAUAGGAAGGAUAGAGGGGAAAAAAGCUCAUGUUAAAAUCCUGGACCUUAGAAGUGAAGGACAACAAACCAGGUUUGAAAGGACUCACAUAUAGGGCAGUCGUGGUGGGGAGGGAGGGCAAGAAGCUUACCACUCAGCAAAUACUCACAAAGAUCUGUUGCUGCAUUUAUUUUUUUCUAACAAAACCCACAUAUAUGGAGGACUUUCUAAAAGGAAGGCUCAAAAAAUGGCUUUCUGCACUAAAAUGUUUUGGUGGGAGAGUACAACAAAGGACAUGUGAGAAAAAAAAGUCACAUGUAUCAGCAUCAUCAGAAGUUUCUGAUUUCCUUCCCAACUUAAAACCUCCAAUAAAAUGAAAAUGCAACAUUGAAGACUAAUUUAUCACUUACAACAGUCAAUAGGCAUGUCAUUCA
RNAcentral lists this unclassified non-coding RNA (530 nucleotides) under Hevea brasiliensis (rubber tree). Lineage: Eukaryota; Viridiplantae; Streptophyta; Magnoliopsida; Malpighiales; Euphorbiaceae. The record is from RNAcentral.